AUGAAAAUAUUGAGUUGGAACUGUCGAGGCUUGGGUCAACCUCGUACAAUUCAAGAGUUGGUGUGCUUCUCAAAGAUGCACAGACCCAAUAUUAUCUUUUUAUCUGAAACAAGAAAGAAUAAAGAGUAUGUUGAGAGCUUGCGCUAUAGGUUGGGCAUGAAUAAUGUUUUUACUGUUUCUGGCCAUGGUAAAGGUGGUGGACUAGCUCUGUUUUGA
Molecule: ribosomal RNA, 216 nt
Filed under: Triticum aestivum (bread wheat)
Lineage: Eukaryota; Viridiplantae; Streptophyta; Magnoliopsida; Poales; Poaceae
Description: partial small subunit ribosomal RNA
Source: RNAcentral